Molecule: long non-coding RNA, 1275 nt
Organism: Pelodiscus sinensis (Chinese soft-shelled turtle)
Lineage: Eukaryota; Metazoa; Chordata; Testudines; Trionychidae
Source: RefSeq, a predicted model, not a curated record
CAUAAAUGAAGUUAACUCUGCAGCAAGGACAAGCCCUUGAAAAUUCAGAUUGGGAGCUAGUUUAGUUUCUUCCAUCAAACCUCCACACUGGUAGCUUUACAAAUGGUUUUCUUUUUCAGAGCAAAGCAGCAGAGGUACUAUUAUUCCAACAUUACAGAUGUGGACCUGAGACACAGAAAAACUAAAAGAACUUGCCCGAGUCUGUUGCAAAAUACAUAAUUGACAUCUCAAGUCCCAGCUGUCAGACCUGCCAUGGUAGGAACCAGUGGCCUUGAACAAUGAAUCUGUUGAGAAUGCAGGGCUGAAGGAACUGAGUUGGAUGCAGAACAGCAGGACAGCAGCAGAACUGAAAUGGACAGCAGAUGCAAGAAACAGAAGUGACCUGGUCCUGUUGCAAGCUCUACUAGAAAAAAAAAUCAGCGAAGAAUGUAUUUCAAAGAGACAUCUAUUAAAUGAAACAAGUGUCAGCUUCCCAGAUCUGCUGAGCAACACAACAACGACGCACAAAGGGAGCACAACCAAUGGCAGGGAGACAAUUCACUGCAGGCGUUUGUAGUGAGCAUUUGUAUUACAGCUGCUGGCAGAAACUCUUUUUGAUAUCAAGGCCUCAUUGUGCUCGACCCUCUACAAACACAGCAAGACUGUCCCUAGACACAGACAAGCUGGACACAAGGUGGGAGAAAGGAAUCCUCUUCAUUUUACAAAAGAGGAGUGGGGACUUGAGACACACAGAAUUGCACAAGGCCACAGAAUGCUGAUGACCGAGCCAGGAACUGACCUUGGGUACUGAGAAGUGCCAGGUCAAUGCUUUAACACACAACAGUCCUUCCUUUCUGAUUGCACAAGUGUCACAAAGGCCAAACUAAUCUUGAGGAAUCUUUAAUCCUAGUGGUCACGCGCAUGAUGGAAAAGAAUCAACUUGACUCUUUGAGCUGAGGGUGGCAGUUAGAAUACACACUUUGUAAACUGAGCAAAUGAAAAUCACUGAGACUCAAGGCACUUUUCAUAGCUACAGCUCCUUCCUUGACUUGCCCUUUUGAAGAAGGACAGUGCACAUGGCUUAGUUUGGUGCUUAAAUGGCAGCUGAACUCCUGAAAGUCAAGCCCCAAGUGAUUUGGCCAAAAGGUUACACCAUGGAUUAAACCCAGUCUCCUGUGUUCCCCAACCAAUGUCAUACACACUAGGGUAUCCCUCUGCUCUAGCUUAGGGCUUGGUUCUGUACAGAACAGAUUAGGAGGUUGUAGCCAGACAGGAACGCCCCUGUAACAUCCAUUU